CAUUUGAUUUACGCUUACCUUCAACCACAAGUUUUACUGAAAUUUGUGAUCAGGUUUUUCCUGAAGCUGAAAAAAAUGGGAUUUUUAUCAAUAAAAUUUAUAAUAGUGAACAAAUUCAACCUUCGUCCCUUGAUUCCCCGUUUUGUAAAUCGUUUUUUUCUGCUAUUGAUGAACUUGAACUGGAAACACAGGUCAUGAUUUUUCCGGCAGGAACUGAUGCAAGAUAUCU
This is a long non-coding RNA of Octopus sinensis (East Asian common octopus), 229 nucleotides long. RefSeq lists it as uncharacterized. NCBI's taxonomy places the organism in Eukaryota, Metazoa, Mollusca, Cephalopoda, Octopoda, Octopodidae. The transcript has 3 exons. The record is from RefSeq and is a predicted model, not a curated record.